This 253-nucleotide ribosomal RNA is filed under the name uncultured bacterium. RNAcentral describes it as "partial 16S ribosomal RNA". It matches the Rfam family "Bacterial small subunit ribosomal RNA", at positions 524 to 776 of the family's 1533-position model. The record is from RNAcentral.
UACGGAGGGGACUAGCGUUGUCCGAAGUUACUGGGCGUAAAGCGCGCGUAGGCGGGUUGGUAAGUCCGCUGUGAAAGCCCGGAGCUCAACUCCGGAGGGUCGGUGGAUACUGCCAGUCUUGAAGGUGCUAGGGGGAGAUGGAAUUACCGGUGUAGCGGUGAAAUGCGUAGAUAUCGGGAGGAACACCUGUGGCGAAAGCGGCGCACUGGACCACAACUGACGCUGAGGCGCGAAAGCUAGGGGAGCAAACAGG